Molecule: ribosomal RNA, 674 nt
Filed under: uncultured cyanobacterium
Lineage: Bacteria; Bacillati; Cyanobacteriota
Description: bacterial SSU rRNA
Rfam family: Bacterial small subunit ribosomal RNA
Source: RNAcentral
GGACGGGGUGAGUAACGCGUGAGAAAUCUGCUCUUUAGGACGGGGGACAACAGCUGGAAAACGGGCUGCUAAAUACCCGAAUGUGCCGAGAGGUGAAAACAUUUUAUGGCUUGAGGAUGAGCUCGCGUCUGAUUAGCUAGUUGGUGGGGGUAAGGGCCUACCAAGGCGACGAUCAGUAGCUGGUCUGAGAGGAUGAUCAGCCACACUGGGGACUGAGACACGGGCCCAGACUCCUACGGGAGGCAGCAGUGGGGAAUUUUCCGCAAUGGGCGCAAGCCUGACGGAGCAAGACCGCGUGCGGGAGGACGGCCUAUUGGUUGUAAACCGCUUUUGAUAGGGAAGAAGUUCUGACGGUACCUAUCGAAUCAGCAUCGGCUAACUCCGUGCCAGCAGCCGCGGUAAUACGGAGGAUGCAAGCGUUAUCCGGAAUUAUUGGGCGUAAAGCGUCCGUAGGUGGUUGUUCAAGUCUGCUGUUAAAGCGUGCGGCUUAACCGCAUACCAGCAGUGGAAACUGGGCGACUAGAGUGCGGUAGGGGUCAGGGGAAUUCCCAGUGUAGCGGUGAAAUGCGUAGAUAUUGGGAAGAACACCGGUGGCGAAAGCGCCUGACUGGACCUGCACUGACACUGAGGGACGAAAGCUAGGGGAGCGAAAGGGAUUAGAUACCCCUGUAGUC